UGGCGCAGAGAGGAGAGACAGAGCAGCAGCGGAGGUGUGAGCACUGGAUGAUAAAGGAGAGGUGAACUUAUGGAAAGAUUUGGGGGAGUGUAUCCACAAAGCUCCCUGCCACCCGCAUUGAUCAAUCUGCUGUAAGCCGAACAGAGGCGGGUGGAUUUCGUCUAUGCCCCGUCAGAAGCCGCACUGAAGUCCGCCUCCUGAGUGAGUGGGCGGUACGUACUGGCAAGGCAGAGAUCCAGGAGGGAGGUGGAGCUGGGAUACUAAGAGCGACGCGACCCUCCGGAGCUGCUGGAUAGAGGACACAGCCUCAUAGAGACUGAAGGGCAGCUGUCCUGGCCAAUAAUUGAGUUGGGAGGAGGAGUCGAGGGAGAGGCUAUUCCCCUUUCAGGCUGACAGAUGAAUACAAUACUUACCGGUGACGUUGUUUCCACAUCCAAGGAAGAACCUGCAGCGAAGAAAUAGAAGGUGUAAAAGGUAACGCCGUGAUAUGAGUGUACUCCGGUCUGUUGCUAUGGCGCCGGACGCCAGCGUCUGCAGAUGAUGUCAUUUUGGAUGAAGCAGGACGCGGCGGGCAGAUGACGCCAAGCAGAGUCGGAAGAGGUAAUAAAGCGCUGGAAUGCAUGAAACCCGGAAGUAUGCUUUCCAGUGACAACUUUCUGUUUCCGGACGGUUGCUGCAGGAUACCGGAUGUACAUUUUAAAGGACACUUCCGGAUGUGUUCCAAAUACUAGAAAUAGACCGCGGAAGUUGUAGUAAGACUCCAGCAUCAAUUACAAGUACCGGAAUGGACUUAUGGGACAUCUUGCUUUACCUUAAAUGUUUUUUUCUUGGACUUUCAAUGUUCCAUUUCGGACUUAUACAGUAGGCUGCUGAAAGGAUUAUAUAAAGUGCAAUGGCAACUAACUUUAUAUGUCAUUUUUCAUGCGUUUCUGUAUAUAUUUUUGUUUCAU
Molecule: long non-coding RNA, 950 nt
Organism: Pseudophryne corroboree (corroboree frog)
Lineage: Eukaryota; Metazoa; Chordata; Amphibia; Anura; Myobatrachidae
Exons: 4
Source: RefSeq, a predicted model, not a curated record